RNAcentral lists this unclassified non-coding RNA (309 nucleotides) under plant metagenome. Its description in RNAcentral is "partial contains 5.8S ribosomal RNA, internal transcribed spacer 2, and large subunit ribosomal RNA". The stretch from base 1 to 105 matches the Rfam family "5.8S ribosomal RNA", at positions 50 to 154 of the family's 154-position model. The record is from RNAcentral.
GAAAUGCGAUAAGUAGUGUGAAUUCCAGAAUUCAGUGAAUCAUCGAAUCUUUGAACGCACAUUGCGCCCCUUGGUAUUCCAUGGGGCAUGCCUGUUCGAGCGUCAUUUGUACCCUCAAGCUCUGCUUGGUGUUGGGUGUUUGUCCCGUCUCCGCGCGUGGACUCGCCCCAAAGUGAUUGGCAGCCGGCGUACUGGUCCCGGAGCGCAGCACAUGUCGCGCAAACGAGUGCCUUGGUACGGCGGCGUCCAUAAGCCCCUCUCUCACGCUCUUGACCUCGGAUCAGGUAGGGAUACCCGCUGAACUUAAGC